CGGACGGGUGAGUAAUGUCUGGGAAACUGCCCGAUGGAGGGGGAUAACUACUGGAAACGGUAGCUAAUAUCGCAUAACGUCGCAAGACCAAAGAGGGGGACCUUCGGGCCUCUUGCCAUCGGAUGUGCCCAGAUGGGAUUAGCUAGUAGGUGGGGUAACGGCUCACCCAGGCGACGAUCCCUAGCUGGUCUGAGAGGAUGACCAGCCACACUGGAACUGAGACACGGUCCAG
Molecule: ribosomal RNA, 232 nt
Filed under: uncultured bacterium
Lineage: Bacteria
Description: partial 16S ribosomal RNA
Rfam family: Bacterial small subunit ribosomal RNA
Source: RNAcentral